UUGUCUUGGAGAGUUGUCUCAUUAGCGAUCAUACCACAUCUUCUUUUUUUUUAACUAUACAACAAACAACGGAUUAUAACAGGAGUACCGUUGUUUGUUCCUGAUUUUGUGGUGAAGCGUGUUUAGGACUCUUCUAAGUCUUUUCUUCAGUCGUGGUCUUUUUAUGCCUUUUGUCGUAAGUACUUCUUUGCUAUUUUCUUCUGUUUUC
This 208-nucleotide long non-coding RNA is filed under the name Mytilus galloprovincialis (Mediterranean mussel). The record is from RNAcentral. Lineage: Eukaryota; Metazoa; Mollusca; Bivalvia; Mytilida; Mytilidae.